RNAcentral lists this transfer RNA (85 nucleotides) under Candidatus Nomurabacteria bacterium RIFCSPHIGHO2_01_FULL_42_15. RNAcentral's name for it is "tRNA-Leu". It matches the Rfam family "tRNA". Rfam says of the family: Transfer RNA (tRNA) molecules are approximately 80 nucleotides in length. Their secondary structure includes four short double-helical elements and three loops (D, anti-codon, and T loops). Further hydrogen bonds mediate the characteristic L-shaped molecular structure. tRNAs have two regions of fundamental functional importance: the anti-codon, which is responsible for specific mRNA codon recognition, and the 3' end, to which the tRNAs corresponding amino acid is attached (by aminoacyl-tRNA synthetases). tRNAs cope with the degeneracy of the genetic code in two manners: having more than one tRNA (with a specific anti-codon) for a particular amino acid; and 'wobble' base-pairing, i.e. permitting non-standard base-pairing at the 3rd anti-codon position. Lineage: Bacteria; Candidatus Nomuraibacteriota. RNAcentral also lists the same sequence under 1 other name. The record is from RNAcentral.
GGGCAUGUGGCGGAAUUGGUAUACGCGUACGCUUCAGGAGCGUAUGUCGCAAGACUUGGGAGUUCAAAUCUCCCCAUGCCCACCU